This 123-nucleotide long non-coding RNA is filed under the name Monodelphis domestica (gray short-tailed opossum). RNAcentral describes it as "lncRNA (ENSMODG00000030017.2)". The record is from RNAcentral. Lineage: Eukaryota; Metazoa; Chordata; Mammalia; Didelphimorphia; Didelphidae.
AUGAGCAGAAGAUGGCCAGUGACUUAUCUUCUAGAGAAAAAUGACAGAAAUGAGUAUUUGGAAUUAUUCCUGGAAUUAGACCAGCAUGAGGUCCCCUCUGCCAAUCUAAGGUAAAACUGCUGA